Molecule: ribosomal RNA, 368 nt
Filed under: uncultured bacterium
Lineage: Bacteria
Description: bacterial SSU rRNA
Rfam family: Bacterial small subunit ribosomal RNA
Source: RNAcentral
GACGAACGCUGGCGGCGUGCUUAACACAUGCAAGUCGAGCGGUAAGGCCCUUUCGGGGGUACACGAGCGGCGAACGGGUGAGUAACACGUGGGUGACCUGCCCUCAGCUCUGGGAUAAGCCUGGGAAACCGGGUCUAAUACUGGAUAUGACUCCAUGACGCAUGUUGUGGGGUGGAAAGCCUUGUGCGGCUGAGGAUGGGCCCGCGGCCUAUCAGCUUGUUGGUGGGGNGAUGGCCUACCAAGCGACGACGGGUAGCCGGCCUGAGAGGGCGACCGGCCACACUGGGACUGAGACACGGCCCAGACUCCUACGGGAGGCAGCAGUGGGGAAUCUUGCGCAAUGGGCGAAAGCCUGACGCAGCGACGCC